Molecule: ribosomal RNA, 318 nt
Filed under: uncultured Flavobacteriia bacterium
Lineage: Bacteria; Pseudomonadati; Bacteroidota; Flavobacteriia
Description: bacterial SSU rRNA
Rfam family: Bacterial small subunit ribosomal RNA
Source: RNAcentral
CGGCUAACUCCGUGCCAGCAGCCGCGGUAAUACGGAGGAUCCAAGCGUUAUCCGGAAUUAUUGGGUUUAAAGGGUCCGCAGGCGGUUUUUUAAGUCAGAGGUGAAAUCCUACAGCUCAACUGUAGAACUGCCUUUGAUACUGAUAGACUUGAGUUAUUGUGAAGUGGUUAGAAUGUGUGGUGUAGCGGUGAAAUGCAUAGAUAUUACACAGAAUACCAAUUGCGAAGGCAGAUCACUAACAAUUUACUGACGCUCAUGGACGAAAGCGUGGGUAGCGAACAGGAUUAGAUACCCUGGUAGUCCACGCCGUAAACGAUG